Cyprinus carpio carpio is the source of this 300-nucleotide long non-coding RNA. NCBI's taxonomy places the organism in Eukaryota, Metazoa, Chordata, Actinopteri, Cypriniformes, Cyprinidae. The record is from Ensembl.
AGCUGCUGUGGCUCCAGCGGUUCAGUCUACAUCACCUUCAUAUUAAUUACUCAUUACUUACAAGCAUUCAGAAUUGCUGAUAAUCAGACCAGGACAAUACCGCCCUCGAUAUCCAGCAACACCGGGGGUCCGUUCAGUUCAGUUAUAUUAUCAGCCAGUUGUAACCAUAGUGGUUUAAUAAUGACCACCUGCAAAGAAAGUCAAGGCGCCCAAUGUAAUCCAAACCCAUCAUCUAGCAUUGAUCAUCGGGGAAAACAUAUAUUGACGCUCCUUUCUGUGAGUGACUGGAGCACUCACGUG